CGUCAUACCGUUUAAUCCCGGAGGUAAAGCACUGAUUGAGGUAGGGGGCUACCAGCUUACCGAACUCAUUCAAACUCUGAAUGCCGGGAUUCAAAGGAUGGCAGUCGGACUACGGGAGAUGAGUUUCGUGGUCGAGAGGGAAAGAACCCAGAUCUACUGCUAAGGCCCCGAAGUGGCGGCUCAGUGUAGCGAAGGAUGUGAUCUUGCUGAGACAACUGGGAGGUUGGCUUAGAAGCAGCCACCAUUUAAAAAGUGCGUAACAGCUUACUGGUCAAGCAAUUCUGCGCCGAUAAUGAACGGGAGUAAGUACGACGCCGAAGCAGUAAGUUCACCAAUCCUGCGGGAUUGUUGAGCGGUAGGAGAGCGCUGUACGUCAGAUACAAGGUAGACCGGAAGGACUACUGUCGGGGCGUACAGGUGAUUAUGCCGGAAUGAGUAACGAUAAGACAGGUGAGAAUCCUGUCCGCCGAAAACCUAAGGUUUCCUGGGGAAGGUAAUUCCGCCCAGGGUUAGCCGGUACCUAAGACGAGGCCGAAAGGCGUAGUCGAUGGACGGCAGGUUAAUAUUCCUGCACCACAGAUAGAUGCUGAAGAGGGGACAUCGACGGAAAAGUGAGCGGAGGGCUAGAAAUCUCCGUGCCGCAAGGCCGAUGGCAUUUAUGAUCCAGAAGUCAUUGGAACGUCGAUCAAGAAAAGCCUCGUAGGGAAGCUGUCGCGUCCGUACUAAAACUGACACUGGUAGGCGAGGUGAAUAUCCUAAGGCGCUCGAGAGAACUGUUGUCAAGGAACUCGGCAAAUUAACCCCGUAACUUCGGGAUAAGGGGUGCCCCCCGGCUUGCAAGGGCUGAGGGGCCGCAGAGAAAUGGAUCUGGCGACUGUUUACUAAAAACACAGGUCCGUGCGAAGUCGUAAGACGAUGUAUACGGACUGACUCCUGCCCGGUGCUGGAAGGUUAAGUGGAGGGGUGCAAGCUCUGAAAUGAAGCCCAGGUAAACGGCGGCCGUAACUAUAUGGUGACGGAUCGCAGGUGUUGUUCUUCCUUAUCGGAUUGGAAGGGCGGCUGAGCGGUUCCUGGAAAGAGCCCUCCGUGAGAUCGUACCCGAAACCGACACAGGUGGGCGAGGAGAGUAUCCUAAGGCGCUCGGGAGAACCUUCGUUAAGGAACUCGGCAAAUUAGCCCCGUAACUUCGGGAGAAGGGGUACCGCGGUAGCGUGAAGCGUCGAGCACGUGGAGCGCGAGGCGGGCGCAGAGAAUAGGCCCAUGCGACUGUUUACCAAAAACACAGCUCCCUGCAAACGCGGAAGCGGACGUAUAGGGGGUGACGCCUGCCCGAUGCCGGAAGGUCAAGGGGAAGGGUGACGAGCCCCGAACCGAAGCCCCGGUCAAUGGCGGCCGUAACUAUGACGGUCCUAAGGUAGCGAAGUUCCUUGUCGGGUAAGUUCCGACCUGCACGAAAAGCGUAACGCUGGCCACACUGUCUCGACCCGAGACUCAGUGAAGUUGAAAUCGCUGUGAAGAUGCGGCGUAGCUGCGGAAAGACGGAAAGACCCCGUGAACCUUUACUACAGCUUUACACUGAACUUUGAACUUGUUUGUGUAGGAUAGGUGGGACCCUUUGAAGUGGGGGCGCUAGCUCUCAUGGAGGGGACGUUGAAAUACCACCCUGACAAUUUCGGAGUUCUAACCUCGGCCCAUCAUCUGGGCUGGGAACAAUGUAUGGUGGGUAGUUUGACUGGGGCGGUCUCCUCCCAAAGAGUAACGGAGGAGUGCAAAGGUACGCUCAGCGCGGUCGGUCAUCGCGCACAGAGUGCAAUGGCACAAGCGUGCUUAACUGUGAGACGUACAUGUCGAACAGGUGCGAAAGCAG
RNAcentral lists this ribosomal RNA (1867 nucleotides) under Selaginella bryopteris. RNAcentral describes it as "bacterial LSU rRNA". It matches the Rfam family "Bacterial large subunit ribosomal RNA", at positions 879 to 2408 of the family's 2925-position model. Lineage: Eukaryota; Viridiplantae; Streptophyta; Lycopodiopsida; Selaginellales; Selaginellaceae. The record is from RNAcentral.